UUUGAGUGUACAUACAUAGUGUGUUACAAUUAUAUUCUUAUUUUCUUCAGCAGUGAAUAUUUGCUGGUAUUUUUCUAUUUUAUAAUUGUAUGCAUUAUUUUUAGAUUUCUCAGUGAACAUCAGAAACCCCAUCUCUACAAGAAAUACAAUAAUUAGCCAGUUGUGUUGGUGUAUGUCUGUAGUCCCAGCUGGAGACUACUGGAGAGGCUGAAGUGGGAGGAUCGCUUCAACCCAGGAGGCAGAUAUAUAUACAAAUGGAAUAGAAGUGAGAGUCCAUAAAGAAACCCAUACAUCUAAGGCCACUUGAUUUUCAAGAAGGAUCCAAGAUUACUUUAUGGAGACAGAAUAGUCUCUUCGACCAAUACUGCUGGGACACCUAUACACAGACACACAACAUAAUGAAGUUAGAUUGUACCUCACCCUACACUUAAAAGUUAACUCAAAAUUCAUCAGUGACCUAAUGUAACAGCUAAACUAUAAAAGUAUUAGAAGAAAACAUAGAAGUAAAUCUUCCUGACUUUAUUUGGAAUGGAUUCUUCAAUGAAACAACAUAAGCAAAAGCAAAUAUAAAUACCUAAAUGGGACCUAGGUUUUAAAAAAUGCUGUGCAUACAUGGACAUUGUCAUGAACAUGAAAAGACCAUACAGCAUGAGUUCUACUAUCCAGAUUAUAUAAAGAAUUCUUACAACUCAAUAACAGAAACCACUCAAUUAAAAAAAUGGGCAAAGGGCUGGGUGCAGUGUCAUGCCUGUAAUUCCAGCACUUUGGGAGGCUGAGGUGGGCAGUUUACUUGAGGCCAGGAGUUCAAGACCAGCCUGGCCAACAUGGUGAAAGUCUGUCUUUACUAAAAAUACAACUAGCUGGAUGUGGUGGCCUCCUGGGCUCAAACCAUCCUUCCACCUCAGCCUCUUGAGCAGCUGAGACUACAGGCGUGCACCACAGCCUCUGGUUAAGUUUUGUAUUUUUUUAUAGAGAUGAGGUUCCUCCAUGUUGCCCAGGCUGGUCUCGAACUACUGCACUCAAGUAAUCUGCCCACCUCAGCCUCCCAAAGUGCUGGGAUUACAGGCAUGAGCCACUGCACUCAGCCUAAAAAAAAAAAAUCCUAAUUUUUAUGGGUACACAUAUGGAGUAUAUAUGUUGAUACAGGCAUACAAUGCAUAAUAAUCAUAUCAGGGUAAAUGGGGUAUCUGUUACCACAAGCAUUUAUCAGAUUUUUGUGUGUGUUAGAAACAAUCCGUACUCGUUUAGUUAUUUCAAAUGUACAAUAAAUUAUUAUUGACUGUAACUCUGUUGUGCUAUCAAAUACCAGAUCUUAUUCAUUCUAUCUAAGCAUAGUUUUGUACCCACUAACCAUCCCCACUUCCCUCACCACCAACCUUAACUUUCCCUCCCUCUGGUAACCAACAUUCUGCUCUCUGUCUCCAUGCAUUCAAUUGUUUUAAUUUUUAGCUCCUACAAAUAAGUGAGAAGAUGUGAAGUUUGUCUUUCUGUGCCUGACUUAUUUCACUGAAUGUAAUGUCCUUCCAAUUCCAUCCAUAUUGUUGCAAAUAACAAAAUCUCAUUCUUUUUGUGGCUGAAUAGUACUCCAUUGUGUAUAUGUCCAUUUCCUGUAUCCAUUCACCUGUUGAUGCAUACUUAGGUUGCUUCCAAAUUUUGGUUAUUGUGAAUAGUGCUGCAAUAAACAUUGCAGGGGAGGGUGCAGAUAUCACUUUGAUAUAGUUUUAAUUUUUUGAGGAACCUCCAUACUGUUCUCCGCAGUGGUUCUACUAAUUUACAUUCCCACCAACAAUGUGCGAGGAUUCCCUCCUUCACUCCUUCCACAUCCUCACCAACAUUUGAUAUUGCCUGUCUUUUGAAUAAAAGCUAUUUUAACUGGAGUGGGAUAUCUCAUGGUAGUUUUGAUUUGUAUUUAUCUGAUGAUCUAUGAUGUAGAGCACCUUUUCAUAUACCUGUUUGCCAUUUGUAUGCCCUCUUUUGAGAAAUGUCUAUUCAGAUAUUUUGCUCAUUUUAAAAUUGAUUUAUUAAAUUUUUUCCUAUUUGGUUUGAGCUUCUUAUAUUCUGGUUAUUAAUCCCUUGUCAGAUGGAUAGUUUGCAAAUAUUUUCUCCUAUUGUGUGGGUUGUCUCUUCACUUUGUUGAUUGCUUCCUUUGCUGUGCAGAAGCUUCUUAACUUGACGUGAUCCCAUUUGUCCAUUUUUG
This 2197-nucleotide long non-coding RNA is filed under the name Homo sapiens (human). Its description in RNAcentral is "HSALNT0260454". Lineage: Eukaryota; Metazoa; Chordata; Mammalia; Primates; Hominidae. The record is from RNAcentral.